RNAcentral lists this long non-coding RNA (1054 nucleotides) under Salmo salar (Atlantic salmon). RNAcentral describes it as "lncRNA (ENSSSAG00000119293.1)". Lineage: Eukaryota; Metazoa; Chordata; Actinopteri; Salmoniformes; Salmonidae. The record is from RNAcentral.
GAGGAGGAGGAUAAAUAAGAAAAGGAGGUGAAGGUAGAGGAGGGAGAUGAGAGAAACGACACAGAAGAUGAAGAGUUGAAGGAGGCAGAUGAGGAGCAGGACGCAGAUGAGGAGCAGGAGGCAGAUGAGGAGCAGGAGGUAGAUGAGGAGCAAGAGGUAGAUGAGGAGCAAAAGGCAGAUGAGGAGCAGGAGGUAGAUGAGGAGCAAGAGGUAGAUGAGGAGCAAAAGGCAGAUGAGGAGCAGGAGGUAGAUGAGGAGCAAGAGGUAGAUGAGGAGCAAAAGGCAGAUGAGGAGCAGGAGGUAGAUGAGGAGCAAGAGGUAGAUGAGGAGCAAAAGGCAGAUGAGGAGCAGGAGGUAGAUGAGGAGCAAGAGGUAGAUGAGGAGCAAAAGGCAGAUGAGGAGCAGGAGGUAGAUGAGGAGCAGGAGGUAGAUGAGGAGCAGGAGGUAGAUGAGGAGCAAAAGGCAGAUGAGGAGCAGGAGGUAGAUGAGGAGCAAGAGGCAGAUGAGGAGCAGGAGGCAGAUGGUAGAUGAGAAGAGAUGGUAGAAGAGGACUGGUUCCCAACAUGAUAAUGCUCUUCCUCUCUACAGCACCAUAUGUAUCAAAGCUUAGCUACCAUGUCCCUGUGAUCAGUGUGUGUCUACUGCCCUCUAGUGUGCUUUAUGUCAGUGUCAGAAGGCCCUGGUUCUCCUGUUGUCCAAGUCAGCAGUCCACAUAGUAUGGGGUUGACACUGUCAUUAUGGGACAUUCAGUAUGGAUGAGGUAUGAAGCAUGAGUCACUCAGUGAAAGUCUGCAUGCUGUAUGUGUGCUGAGGGCUCCUGAGUGGCGCAGCGGUCUAAGGCACUGCAUCUCAGUGCAAGAGGCACCAGUCCCUGGUUUGAAUCCAGGCUGUAUCACAUCUGCCGUGAUUGGUAGUCCCAUAAGGCAACAUUGACCCAGCAUCGUCCAGGUUUGGCCGGGGUAGGCUGUCAUUGUAAAUAAGAAUUUGUUUUUAACUGACUUGCCUGGUUAAAUAAAGGUAAAACAUUUUUUAUCAUACUACUGUACGUAAAAGA